CGGACCACCACGAUGUGGCGAUCUCGGCCUCGUCGACGUCGGGCCGAUGCACGUCCGCGUCAUAUCGACGGUCGUCACAAAGCGAAAGUACCAUACGGCCGACGGUCUCGGAGCACCACGAUCCGUCCGCGUACCGGGCAAAGGCGUAUGUGAGCGCCAUGCGCAGGCCAAAGCCGAUCAGGCGUUUCGCCCGUUCGGGUCUCUGCAGGUCGAGCGCCACGACGGCCGCCGGCAGCCACCAGUCGAAUGGCAUCUUGUCGCACUCUUUGGCGGUAUCCGAGCAAGCGCACCCAUACCGUGUGCAAGACAGACGGUCGGCGUUGCACUGCGCCGAAAAUCGCCGGGCUAGUGCAAUCGCCGGAUCGUCUGCGUCGGCUCCGUUUCUGGUUUCGCUGUCGGCAUGGAUGGCCGCCGAAAAAGCAACGUCGUCCACGCAGGCGAGAUGGUUCGUGCCCCAAUCGUCGAUGCAAUCCGCAUGGUCCGACUCAAACCACGAAAGCAGAAACGCCGCCCGUCCGGCAUAUGCAAACUGGGCGAUGAGGUGCGUGAGAAUCAACUCGUGAUUUUCGUGAUAGGCGCGACCGUUCUUGUCGCAGGCUCGCAAAAGCCGACCGUGUGCGUCCUUGGCGAAUCGCGCACAUCCGUGGGACCGUGCCGCGAGAUCAACAAUGGCCGUAAACGCGCGAUCGCUGCAUGACCUGGCGCAUGAUAGAGCCAGUGCCGCAACGCCGUCUGGGUCGUAGGUGACGCCGCCGGCCGUGCGUCCCGACCAAAGGUCGAGCGCAUGUGCCGGAUGCGAGGAAUCGAUUGCAAUUGGAUUAGAAUAGGCACAUGCGUGCGACGCCGUCGGUGUGGCAUAUAUCCACGCGGCGCGCAAGACGCAAUCGGCGUCGGCGCCAGAAACGGGUGCGAUCAUCCUUUGGUCCAAAAAGCACAUUGCGCUGUCUGUCGUGUUCAGGCGCAUCACAUCGGGCAGGUUCCACAAAUGCCACCAGAGGGCGUCGACCACCAGGUCGUCGUUGGUGCAGACAGCGGCGUGCAUGAGCGCCCUCGAUCCGGCCACAAGCAGCGACGCCAACGACGCCGGAUGGAGACACUCAAAGACGCACCGCAAAAGUUCGCCCGGCAGCCGCGCCCAUACGCAGUCGACGCGGUCGAUGGUGUGUCCCUGCGCGCGCCAGUAGGCAACGCAAGCACCGAGCCGGAGCGAGACGGCGUGACAGACGGCAAUGGGCGUCUUGGAGGACCCGCUCGACGGCUGUCCCUGUCUGUUUUCCUCCGCGUCCAUCUUUGCAAGGCUCCUCUCUGCGGAAACAACAAGCAGGCCACAAAGAUGGCAUGAAAGAAUGUUGCCGUGCGGCGAUCAUGUUGUUUCAGGCGGCUAUUGACCAAUGAGCAAAUUGUCUACAUUUUUUUGACCGAGUCGCCAGUGACGAGCGCAUCUAGCGGCGGCAAUGAAUUUUUGCUGUCACCAACUGGCAUGGGCCAGUGGACUAAAGAAGAC
RNAcentral lists this long non-coding RNA (1504 nucleotides) under Pandoravirus neocaledonia. RNAcentral's name for it is "hypothetical ncRNA". The record is from RNAcentral.